UACAGAGGUCUCAAGCGUUGUUCGGAUUCAUUGGGCGUAAAGGGCGCGUAGGCGGCGGGGUAAGUCGGGUGUGAAAUCUCAGGGCUCAACCCUGAAACUGCACUCGAUACUGCUCUGCUUGAGGACUGGAGAGGAGACUGGAAUUCACGGUGUAGCAGUGAAAUGCGUAGAUAUCGUGAGGAAGACCAGUGGCGAAGGCGGGUCUCUGGACAGUUCCUGACACUGAGACACGAAGGCCAGGGGAGCAAACGGG
This 253-nucleotide ribosomal RNA is filed under the name uncultured bacterium. RNAcentral describes it as "partial 16S ribosomal RNA". It matches the Rfam family "Bacterial small subunit ribosomal RNA", at positions 524 to 776 of the family's 1533-position model. The record is from RNAcentral.